RNAcentral lists this unclassified non-coding RNA (531 nucleotides) under Hevea brasiliensis (rubber tree). The record is from RNAcentral. Lineage: Eukaryota; Viridiplantae; Streptophyta; Magnoliopsida; Malpighiales; Euphorbiaceae.
UGAUACAUCAAAAGCUCAAACUUUGCAGCAGUUACCAGAAUUCUCAGCCACAAAAGAAAAAUCAACUACUAAUUCUGCAAAGAACACUUUCCCCUUAAGUUAACAGAAAAAAAUUUGCAUCAAACCACAUCUAAAAAAGCUACCUAAAACAGAAAAAAAUCCUCCUCAAGACAUGAAAUAGGUUUAAUGCUAUAAACACAAACAAAUCUUACAAAAGUUUCUUACAUCAAAUCCACAAUUAGUGUCAUACCAUAAAAGUUAGAUGGCAAAACACAUAUAAUGCUUUUCCUGUAAGGAUUUCUUGCAUGCAAAGCAUUUUGCUUUGCAUCAUUAUUUUCACUUCAGGUACAUGUAAGGUACGGAAAUUGGACGAAUACACAGAUUAUUGUUUACAACUGAGCUUCAUCAAGUUGCAAAAAUGAGCAAAAAAGAUAAGGGGAAAAAAAUAAAACCUGAAACACAAGAGUGGCAUAGAGAGGGCUCAAGCCCUUUUCAACUUUGCUAUUUCAAAGGAUGCCAUUCAGCCAAAUG